GUUUGGAGCAACAUGAAAAUUGUUAUCCAGUCCUCUGAAUGAGCAGGUGUUUGAGACGAAACACGGAGGAGAAAUGAGUAUCCAGGCUCAAAGUUACACAAACAACAACACAACGUCCUUCCGUCCAGCCUCAGUUGUUGCCCAGAUGUCCAGUGACUCUUUCAGAACAACAGGAGCUCCAAUAAACUGCAGCCUCAGGUUCAAAACCACUGGAAACACUCUACAAAACAUUCACCGUAAUAGUUUGGUUUAGUGAAGUUUAUUGUCAUUCCAAUUGACUGCAUUAGACUAACCGGGACUUGUCACAACAUUUAUAUAUUGUUGCUCUUUUGUUGUUUUGAUUGCUUCUAUUGCCCUAAUUUG
Long non-coding RNA from Sinocyclocheilus rhinocerous, 363 nucleotides. RefSeq lists it as uncharacterized. Lineage: Eukaryota; Metazoa; Chordata; Actinopteri; Cypriniformes; Cyprinidae. The transcript is spliced from 3 exons. The record is from RefSeq and is a predicted model, not a curated record.